This 294-nucleotide ribosomal RNA is filed under the name uncultured bacterium. RNAcentral's name for it is "partial 16S ribosomal RNA". It matches the Rfam family "Bacterial small subunit ribosomal RNA", at positions 338 to 647 of the family's 1533-position model. The record is from RNAcentral.
CCUACGGGACGCAGCAGUGGGGAAUAUUGGGCAAUGGGCGGAAGCCUGACCCAGCAACGCCGCGUGAAGGAAGAAGGCUUUCGGGUUGUAAACUUCUUUUGACAGGGAAGAGCAGAAGACGGUACCUGCAGAGGAAGCCACGGCUAACUACGUGCCAGCAGCCGCGGUAAUACGUAGGUGGCAAGCGUUGUUCGGAAUAACUGGGCGUAAAGGAUGCGUAGGCGGUUAAACAAGUUAUAUGUUAAAUAUAUAGGCUUAACCUGUAGAAAGCAUAUAAAACUGUUUAACUAGAGU